RNA transcript from Mercenaria mercenaria, 3252 nucleotides. RefSeq lists it as uncharacterized. The transcript has 5 exons. Lineage: Eukaryota; Metazoa; Mollusca; Bivalvia; Venerida; Veneridae. The record is from RefSeq and is a predicted model, not a curated record.
ACUCCCUGUUUGCUGUUGUUUGAUUUCUGUUUUUGUACAGUAAUAGGACUAGUGCAAUGAUUUCUUUAUUUAUUUUUGCAUUAAUAUGUUGCGACUUGCGGCAUAUUGAUGCUGAUCAAUCUGAAACUGACAACAAACGUCUGGUUCUGCAUAGUGAAUUAGAUAUAGCAAAUGAAUUUGCUACUCUCAGACAAGAACUUGCGCAAUACAAGGAGGAAAUGCAGAAAUUAACAUCAAGACUGAACGAGAAAGAUACACAGAUCGCUAAAAUCCAAGCAGCUUCAGGUUCGCUUUAUACUAGAUGGGGACGAACAACUUGUCCCACAAACGGAACAACACUAGUUUAUUCUGGUUACAUGGCAGGGAGUUACGGCGUUCUCCGUGACGGUACUGGAUCAGGUUCGAACUACUUGUGUCUUGCUGGUCAACCCACAUGGGACUACUUUUCCGAAACAAUAAACAACGACAUUCGUGUAACAGGUGUUGAGUACGAGUUCCGCGCCUCGCACGACCAUGACAUCCAGGCCAUAUUCGGAUCCAAUAUCCUAGAAAGUGAGGCACCUUGCUCGGUUUGCCGCACUCAGAGAAGUACUAAUCUUAUGAUUCCCGGCCGGAAGGACUGUUAUCCAGGGUGGACAAAGGAGUACAGUGGCUAUCUUGUCGGCUCUCAUCCUGUUUAUGAUGAUUCGACGGAGUACGUGUGUUUAGACAGGCGACCGGAGACAGUGUCACACAUUGGAAGCAGCGACAACGACAAUAUGCUUUAUUUUGUCGAAGCAUUUUGCGGGAAAAGUUUGGAAUGUCCACCGUAUGUUCAUAACAGAGAACUGUCAUGCGUAGUUUGUUCUAAGUAAUUAUCUUACAAUUUAAUUCUGACAACUGAGAUAUGAAAUAUAAAGCAAAAAGAAAACUGUUAAAAUAAAGUAUAAAAUUAUUAUAUAUAUAUAUAGUUCUUUUUUUUUUUUAAUUUUUCAUGAAGUUUCAGUAGGUUCGGCUAGAUGCUGCUAGUGAACGUUAUAUAGCCUCUACUUGGGUUCUGCAAAUAACUGAAAUGAAAAUUGAUUGAACUGCCUAAGACCGAUGUAUUUGUAAAAUGUUACGGCUACUGACAUAAUUCAUAUAUGACAAUAUCUACGGAGUACGUUUCUUCGGACGGGCGAAUGGAGACUGUGGUAAUGAACGGCUAUGACAGUAUCAUCUACUUCGUGGAAUCAAUUUGCGGGAAAAGUUAAGAAUGUCCACCGUACGAUCGUAAAUUGUUCUAUGUCGCUUGUGUACAAUUGAACAUAAUUUGAUAUUUCCUCUUCCUUAUAUUUCAUAUUUCUCGGUGAUAACGUUUCACCGCAGAUGACAAAACAACAAAACCGGAAGUCUUAUGCUUUUACUUCCCUUUGUAAUGCCUUGACGUAUUUCCUGUUUAUGGAAAAAUAUCCAGAACGUUGUUUAAAUACGCUAUUUGUAGUAAAGCAGCGCUACAAAAUAAGUCAUUUUUAUCUUAUUUUUACUAUCAUUUGAAAGACAAAGGUUUUAACAUUUGCUGUAGUUGCAGAUGGGAAUAUCUCGCUUUAGGGCAACUGUUUACACAGAAACUCGAUGGAGCCUUCAUACCGCGUAAAAAGGUACACACAAGCCGGAUAUUCCCUCUUGCAUCUACAACUAGUCAAAGAAUCUUAUACCUUAGUAUAUAUGCUUGUUUCAUUAAUUUUUUUGUUAUAACUGUCAUUUGCUUUUCUUUGUAAUGCACCAUCUACACUCCACACACCAGUGUGUAGUGUAGAAUUGUAGAGAUUUGGUUGGUUCCUAGUAUGUGGCAAUAGUCUUUAGUGGCUUUUUAUGAAACAAAGCAGUCUGACCUUCGUUUAAUGGCACGAUAAAGUUAUACAGGCAUAGGUCUAUCACUAUAGGUUCUCGGAGUACAUUUUAUAUCCUGCUAAGCGGCACCAGUCUUAUCAGUGAAUGAAAAUUACAUAAGUCAACACUAUAAGUUUACUUUCCCAUCUUAAAGUUCUUUACAGCAGCUGUACAAUGUUUUCAAUAUUUAGUUUUGUGUCAGUUUGUUGUUUCUUAGUUAACGCUGAUGAUGGGUUAAAUUCUGACACCAAACGUCUGGUUCUGCAUAGUGAGCUGGAUUUAGCGCAUGAAGUCGCUACUCUUAGACAAGAGCUUAAGCAAUACAAGGACGAAAUCCAGAAUCUAACGUCACGACUGAACGAGAAAGAUACACAGAUAGCUAAACUUGAAGCAGCUUCAGGUUCUGGGUCAUCCUACGUAAGAUGGGGCCGCACCACCUGUCCAGGAAAUGGAACUGACAUAGUUUAUUCAGGUUACAUGGGCACGGCUUCAAACGAUUUUAAAGUUGGUACUGGCUCUAACUACCUUUGCCUUUCUGAGAAGCCGCAGUGGGACCAUUACGAGGACUCUAUAGAAAGCCUGGGUAAAAUCGCUGGGGUAGAAUAUCAGUUCGUGAAUCACCGUGGAAAUGGCGCGAGCAAUUUCUUUGGGUAUAAUGUAUACAAUGAUAAUGCUCCGUGCGCCGUGUGCCACACUCGGAGAAGCUCGAGUAUCAUGAUACCGGGAAGAAUGGACUGUUAUAGUGGCUGGACAAAGGAAUACAACGGGUAUCUAGUGAGUGGAUGGGUAGGACAGAGUCACGAUUCGGAGUUUAUUUGUCUAGACCGGAGACCGGAAACAGUGGUUGGUGGGAAAACGGAUGACGAUGAGGCCAGACUAUUUUUUGUGGAAGCCGUCUGUGGGAAGAGUCUAGAGUGUCCACCUUACAUCCACGGUCGCGAACUAACUUGUGUUGUCUGUUCAAAAUAAUGAAAAUGAAAUACAUAUCAGCUUUCCAUCAAAAUCUAUAUUUUUGUUAUUAGCACUACAAGCACAGAUGCACCUAUGUACAGUUUUGUUGGCUUGUCUUGCCAUUUAGUAACGUUACCCUUUAGCUGUGAUGUGCCAGAGACAGUUAUUAUCAUGCGCAAAACAUGGGGCACCUUCUUGCUUAAGACAGUCACGGCAUCUACUUUAAAAAGUGUUUCUUUGUCAGAUAACAUUUCAGGACAUUAAUUUUUUAUCUCUCAGUAAACAAGCGGUUGGUAUAUACAGGAGGGCCAAGCGGUCAUAAACAUCAGCGUUCAGGUGAAUAACAUGUUCCUAAUAACUGUUACUUUGAUGAUUCAGUUUUACUUCAGGAAAUCAAAACAUUGACACGAUACUCUGUAAAUAAUUUCGAUUUCUCGGAGUGCGGACGAG